This 127-nucleotide small RNA is filed under the name Marmota monax (woodchuck). Lineage: Eukaryota; Metazoa; Chordata; Mammalia; Rodentia; Sciuridae. The record is from RNAcentral.
ACUGAGUAUGGUGGUGCAUGCCUGUAAUCCCAGCAACUCAGGAGGUUGAGGCAGGAGGAUUGCAUGUUAAAUGUCAACCUCUGUAGUUUAGCAAGGCCCUAAUCAAUUUAGGGAGACCCUGUCUCAA